UAAUGUGAAUUGCAGAAUUCCGUGAAUCAUCGAAUCUUUGAACGCACAUUGCGCCCCCUGGCAUUCCGGGGGGCAUGCCUGUCCGAGCGUCAUU
This 94-nucleotide ribosomal RNA is filed under the name Paecilomyces niveus. RNAcentral's name for it is "Byssochlamys nivea partial 5.8S ribosomal RNA". It matches the Rfam family "5.8S ribosomal RNA", at positions 63 to 154 of the family's 154-position model. Rfam says of the family: 5.8S ribosomal RNA (5.8S rRNA) is a component of the large subunit of the eukaryotic ribosome. It is transcribed by RNA polymerase I as part of the 45S precursor that also contains 18S and 28S rRNA. Lineage: Eukaryota; Fungi; Ascomycota; Eurotiomycetes; Eurotiales; Thermoascaceae. The record is from RNAcentral.